GUAAGGUUAAGCCUCACGGUUCAUUAGUACCGGUUAGCUCAACGCAUCGCUGCGCUUACACACCCGGCCUAUCAACGUCGUCGUCUUCAACGUUCCUUCAGGAGACUUAAAGUCUCAGGGAGAACUCAUCUCGGGGCAAGUUUCGUGCUUAGAUGCUUUCAGCACUUAUCUCUUCCGCAUUUAGCUACCGGGCAGUGCCAUUGGCAUGACAACCCGAACACCAGUGAUGCGUCCACUCCGGUCCUCUCGUACUAGGAGCAGCCCCCCUCAAUUCUCCAGCGCCCACGGCAGAUAGGGACCGAACUGUCUCACGACGUUCUAAACCCAGCUCGCGUACCACUUUAAAUGGCGAACAGCCAUACCCUUGGGACCUACUUCAGCCCCAGGAUGUGAUGAGCCGACAUCGAGGUGCCAAACACCGCCGUCGAUAUGAACUCUUGGGCGGUAUCAGCCUGUUAUCCCCGGAGUACCUUUUAUCCGUUGAGCGAUGGCCCUUCCAUUCAGAACCACCGGAUCACUAUGACCUGCUUUCGCACCUGCUCGCGCCGUCACGCUCGCAGUCAAGCUAGCUUAUGCCAUUGCACUAACCUCCUGAUGUCCGACCAGGAUUAGCUAACCUUCGUGCUCCUCCGUUACGCUUUGGGAGGAGACCGCCCCAGUCAAACUACCCACCAGACACUGUCCGCAACCCCGAUAAGGGGCCAACGUUAGAACAUCAAACAUUAAAGGGUGGUAUUUCAAGGUUGGCUCCACGCAGACUGGCGUCCACGCUUCAAAGCCUCCCACCUAUCCUACACAUCAAGGCUCAAUGUUCAGUGUCAAGCUAUAGUAAAGGUUCACGGGGUCUUUCCGUCUUGCCGCGGGUACACUGCAUCUUCACAGCGAGUUCAAUUUCACUGAGUCUCGGGUGGAGACAGCCUGGCCAUCAUUACGCCAUUCGUGCAGGUCGGAACUUACCCGACAAGGAAUUUCGCUACCUUAGGACCGUUAUAGUUACGGCCGCCGUUUACCGGGGCUUCGAUCAAGAGCUUCUCCUUACGGAUAACCCCAUCAAUUAACCUUCCGGCACCGGGCAGGCGUCACACCGUAUACGUCCACUUUCGUGUUUGCACAGUGCUGUGUUUUUAAUAAACAGUUGCAGCCAGCUGGUAUCUUCGACUGGUCUCAGCUCCAUCCGCAGGGACUUCACCUACACACCAGCGUGCCUUCUCCCGAAGUUACGGCACCAUUUUGCCUAGUUCCUUCACCCGAGUUCUCUCAAGCGCCUUGGUAUUCUCUACCUGACCACCUGUGUCGGUUUGGGGUACGAUUUAAUGUUACCUGAUGCUUAGAGGCUUUUCCUGGAAGCAGGGCAUUUGUUACUUCAGCACCGUAGUGCCUCGUCAUCACACCUCAGCCUUGAUUAUCCGGAUUUGCCUGGACAACCAGCCUACAUGCUUAAACCGGGACAACCGUCGCCCGGCUAACAUAGCCUUCUCCGUCCCCCCUUCGCAGUAACACCAAGUACAGGAAUAUUAACCUGUUUCCCAUCGACUACGCCUUUCGGCCUCGCCUUAGGGGUCGACUCACCCUGCCCCGAUUAACGUUGGACAGGAACCCUUGGUCUUCCGGCGAGCGGGCUUUUCACCCGCUUUAUCGUUACUUAUGUCAGCAUUCGCACUUCUGAUACCUCCAGCAUGCCUCACAGCACACCUUCGCAGGCUUACAGAACGCUCCCCUACCCAACAACACAUAGUGUCGCUGCCGCAGCUUCGGUGCAUGGUUUAGCCCCGUUACAUCUUCCGCGCAGGCCGACUCGACCAGUGAGCUAUUACGCUUUCUUUAAAUGAUGGCUGCUUCUAAGCCAACAUCCUGGCUGUCUGUGCCUUCCCACAUCGUUUCCCACUUAACCAUGACUUUGGGACCUUAGCUGGCGGUCUGGGUUGUUUCCCUCUUCACGACGGACGUUAGCACCCGCCGUGUGUCUCCCGUGAUAACAUUCUUCGGUAUUCGUAGUUUGCAUCGGGUUGGUAAGUCGGGAUGACCCCCUAGCCGAAACAGUGCUCUACCCCCGAAGAUGAGUUCACGAGGCGCUACCUAAAUAGCUUUCGGGGAGAACCAGCUAUCUCCCGGUUUGAUUGGCCUUUCACCCCCAGCCACAAGUCAUCCGCUAAUUUUUCAACAUUAGUCGGUUCGGUCCUCCAGUUAGUGUUACCCAACCUUCAACCUGCCCAUGGCUAGAUCACCGGGUUUCGGGUCUAUACCCUGCAACUUAACGCCCAGUUAAGACUCGGUUUCCCUGCGGCUCCCCUAUACGGUUAACCUUGCUACAGAAUAUAAGUCGCUGACCCAUUAUACAAAAGGUACGCAGUCACACCCGAAGGUGCUCCCACUGCUUGUACGUACACGGUUUCAGGUUCUUUUUCACUCCCCUCGCCGGGGUUCUUUUCGCCUUUCCCUCACGGUACUGGUUCACUAUCGGUCAGUCAGGAGUAUUUAGCCUUGGAGGAUGGUCCCCCCAUAUUCAGACAGGAUACCACGUGUCCCGCCCUACUCUUCGAGUUCACAGCCUGUGCAUUUUGGUGUACGGGACUAUCACCCUGUACCGUCGGACUUUCCAGACCGUUCCACUAACACACAAGCUGAUUCAGACUCUGGGCUGCUCCCCGUUCGCUCGCCGCUACUGGGGGAAUCUCGGUUGAUUUCUUUUCCUCGGGGUACUUAGAUGUUUCAGUUCCCCCGGUUCGCCUCGUUAACCUAUGUAUUCAGUUAACGAUAGUGCAACGAAUUGCACUGGGUUUCCCCAUUCGGACAUCGCCGGUUAUAACGGUUCAUAUCACCUUACCGACGCUUUUCGCAGAUUAGCACGUCCUUCAUCGCCUCUGACUGCCAGGGCAUCCACCGUGUACGCUUAGUCGCUUAACC
Molecule: ribosomal RNA, 2904 nt
Filed under: Klebsiella pneumoniae subsp. pneumoniae Kp13
Lineage: Bacteria; Pseudomonadati; Pseudomonadota; Gammaproteobacteria; Enterobacterales; Enterobacteriaceae
Description: 23S ribosomal RNA
Source: RNAcentral